UACACGGCCCGUACCCCAAACCGACACAGGUGAUCAGGUAGAGAAUACCAAGGCGAUCGAGAGAACUGUGGUUAAGGAACUCGGCAAAAUGCCCCCGUAACUUCGGGAGAAGGGGGACCAUGCCCGGUGAACAUCUUCACGGUGGGAGCUGGGUGUGGUCGCAGAGACCAGAGAGAAGCGACUGUUUACUAAAAACACAGGUCCGUGCGAAGACGUAAGUCGAUGUAUACGGACUGACGCCUGCCCGGUGCUGGAAGGUUAAGAGGACCGGUUAGCCGUAAGGCGAAGCUGAGAAUUUAAGCCCCAGUAAACGGCGGUGGUAACUAUAACCAUCCUAAGGUAGCGAAAUUCCUUGUCGGGUAAGUUCCGACCUGCACGAAUGGCGUAACGACUUCUCUGCUGUCUCGACCACAGACUCGGCGAAAUUGCACUACGAGUAAAGAUGCUCGUUACGCGCGGCAGGACGAAAAGACCCCGGGACCUUUACUAUAGCUUGGUAUUGGCGUUCGAUUCGGUUUGUGUAGGAUAGGUGGGAGACUGUGAAGCAUGCACGCCAGUGUGUGUGGAGUCGUUGUUGAAAUACCACUCUGAUCGUAUUGGACGUCUAACCUCGGCCCAUGAUCUGGGUUAGGGACAGUGCCUGAUGGGUAGUUUAACUGGGGCGGUUGCCUCCUAAAGAGUAACGGAGGCGCCCAAAGGUUCCCUCAGCCUGGAUGGCAAUCAGGUGUUGAGUGCAAGUGCACAAGGGAGCUUGACUGUGAGACUGACACGUCGAGCAGGGACGAAAGUCGGGACUAGUGAUCCGGCACCGGCAAGUGGAAGCGGUGUCGCUCAACGGAUAAAAGGUACCCCGGGGAUAACAGGCUGAUCUUCCCCAAGAGUCCAUAUCGACGGGAUGGUUUGGCACCUCGAUGUCGGCUCGUCGCAUCCUGGGGCUGGAGUAGGUCCCAAGGGUUGGGCUGUUCGCCCAUUAAAGCGGCACGCGAGCUGGGUUUAGAACGUCGUGAGACAGUUCGGUCUCUAUCCGCCGCGCGCGUAAGAAACUCAGGAAGGCUGUCCCUAGUACGAGAGGACCGGGACGGACGAACCUCUGGUGUGCCAGUUGUUCCACCAGGAGCAUGGCUGGUUAGCUACGUUCGGAAGGGAUAACCGCUGAAAGCAUCUAAGCGGGAAGCCUGUUCCAAGAUGAGGUUUCUCACCACCUUGCGUGGUUAAGGCCCCCUACAGACCAUGGGGUUGAUAGGCCGGAACUGGAAGCGCAGCAAUGCGUGGAGGUGACCGGUACUAAUAGGCCGAGGGCUUACACA
This 1307-nucleotide ribosomal RNA is filed under the name metagenome. RNAcentral's name for it is "bacterial LSU rRNA". It matches the Rfam family "Bacterial large subunit ribosomal RNA", at positions 1634 to 2925 of the family's 2925-position model. The record is from RNAcentral.